This 517-nucleotide long non-coding RNA is filed under the name Macaca mulatta (Rhesus monkey). Its description in RNAcentral is "lncRNA (ENSMMUG00000039527.2)". The record is from RNAcentral. Lineage: Eukaryota; Metazoa; Chordata; Mammalia; Primates; Cercopithecidae.
CAUCAUUACAUCAUCAAUGCAAAUGUUUUGAGUGUUCUCAAUAAAGUCUACACAUUCUAUUAUUGUUUAACCUAUUUUGUUUGAGUAGGAUGUUCUCUAAAAUUUGAGUAUUUAUUGUAGGUGUGAGUUCAAGAUAAUUUGAAGGAUCAGAAUUCCAAGAAAUGAAAGAAUAUUAGUUUAAACAAAUUAGAAAGGCCUGCUUGGGAUUGGUGGCUACUGGAGCCUAACAGGGCAUAAGGAAGAGAAAGCUUCAAUGUGGAUGAAGAAAGACUUCUGCAGGAGAAAAAAAAAUGAGGGCUCAGCAAAUAACUAUUUUGAAACCCAAAUGAAGAAUUUUUCAGAUAGGCUGCAAAUGAGAGUCCUACUUAUCAAACCUAAGAGAACUAUGCUAAAUGUACCCUCCGUUCUAUAUCACUCCCUAACAAACUCAGAAAUCUAAAUAAAAAUGAAAAUUAUACAUCAUUAGAUCUCCAUCUGUGUGUGUGUGUGUUUCUACUCAGAAUUGUAUUUACUAGCU